RNAcentral lists this ribozyme (73 nucleotides) under unclassified sequences. RNAcentral describes it as "pistol ribozyme". It matches the Rfam family "Pistol ribozyme". RNAcentral also lists the same sequence under 1 other name. The record is from RNAcentral.
ACUGGUUGCGGCCAGUAUAAAUAGUCUUUAAGCCGCAAGCGUGUCCUGGAGUUAAUCUUCCAGGGCGGUAGCA